ACGAACGCUGGCGGCGUGCUAACACAUGCAAGUCGAACGGAGGCUUUCCUCGGGGGAAGCCUUAGUGGCGGACGGGUGAGUAACGCGUGAGCAAUCUGCCUUGCACAGGGGGAUAACAACUGGAAACGGUUGCUAAUACCGCAUAACGUAACGGGGAGGCAUCUUUCUGUUACCAAAGGAGCAAUCCGGUGCAAGAUGAGCUCGCGUCCGAUUAGAUAGUUGGCGGGGCAACGGCCCACCAAGUCAACGAUCGGUAGCCGGACUGAGAGGUUGACCGGCCACAUUGGGACUGAGACACGGCCCAGACUCCUACGGGAGGCAGCAGUGGGGAAUAUUGGGCAAUGGGCGAAAGCCCUGACCCAGCAACGCCGCGUGAAGGAUGAAGGUUUUCGGAUUGUAAACUUCUUUGACUGAGGACGACAAAAGGACGGUACUCAGAAAACAAGCCACGGCUAACUACGUGCCAGCCGCCGC
This 474-nucleotide ribosomal RNA is filed under the name uncultured bacterium. RNAcentral describes it as "bacterial SSU rRNA". It matches the Rfam family "Bacterial small subunit ribosomal RNA", at positions 29 to 518 of the family's 1533-position model. The record is from RNAcentral.